Long non-coding RNA from Austrofundulus limnaeus, 719 nucleotides. RefSeq lists it as uncharacterized. The transcript is spliced from 3 exons. Lineage: Eukaryota; Metazoa; Chordata; Actinopteri; Cyprinodontiformes; Rivulidae. The record is from RefSeq and is a predicted model, not a curated record.
GAAAAAAGGAAGGAGAGAUGAGGAAGUGAAGUAUUAGCUUCAGUUUCCCUCAGGGGAUAAUUUUAUUUUAUUUUCAUUUUCAUUUUUAUUUUCAUUUUAUUUUGUAACUUCAAAGUUGUUGAUUCUUCUUUAUAACGAGGGACUGGAUUCAUGCAGGAGGCGAGCUCGAUCAGAACUUUCUCAAUCAACGAGAGUUCAGAAGCAGACCCUGGUUCCAGCUUGGAGUCGCCUAAGCCGCUUCUUGUUGCGUCCGAACUGUACCCGCAAGGGACCCCACUCUGAGACCGAGCGGUACCGGUUAUUCAACCUCGCUUGGACCUGUCGGUACCCAGGGACAGCGGACAACUCUUCAAAGCGUAUCAAAUGACUGUGGGCAGAGACUUGAUGGACUCACCUGGACGCAGUUCAGCUGAUGAGGUGUGCCUCUAUUUAAGCUGGCUGCAGAGAUCCAUCCAACGCUGGAAAAUUCAAUUACCUUUGAUUCCUCGUUAAGACCUCUGAGUUUCUGAAGUCAGAACCUCUCCUGACGGAUCUUCAGAAACAAGCCUUGCUGUAAGCUCUCUUUGGAAUCACCCCCGAAAGUCCUCCGCCUGUCACUCUCUCCAACACAUUCCACCUGCAAAACAACAAACCAAAGCCAGAAUAUCUGUGGAACCAAACUUCAUCUUGGUGUCUACACCCUCCCUUCCAUGCCAAGCCUCCUCCUUGGAAACUCUAAA